GACGAACGCUGGCGGCAUGCCUAAUACAUGCAAGUCGAGCGAACAGAUGAAGUGCUUGCACUUCUGACGUUAGCGGCGAACGGGUGAGUAACACGUAAGGAAUCUACCUAUAAGCGGGGGAUAACAUUCGGAAACGGGUGCUAAUACCGCAUAAUAUCUUCUUCCGCAUGGAAGAAGAUUGAAAGACGCCUCUGCUGUCACUUAUAGAUGACCUUGCGGUGCAUUAGUUAGUUGGUGGGGUAAGGGCCUAACAAGACGAUGAUGCAGAGCCGACCUGAGAGGGUGAUCGGCCACAUUGGGACUGAGACAACGCCCAAACUCCUACGGGAGGCAGCAGUAGGGAAUCUUCCGCAAUGGGCGAAAGCCUGACGGAGCAAUGCCGCGUGAGUGAAGAAGGCCUUCGGGUCGUAAAACUCUGUUAUAAGAGAAGAACAAAUUGUAGAGUAACUGCUACAGUCUUGACGGUAUCUUAUCAGAAAGCCACGGCUAACUACGUGCCAGCAGCCGCGGUAA
RNAcentral lists this ribosomal RNA (513 nucleotides) under uncultured bacterium. RNAcentral describes it as "partial 16S ribosomal RNA". It matches the Rfam family "Bacterial small subunit ribosomal RNA", at positions 28 to 523 of the family's 1533-position model. The record is from RNAcentral.